RNAcentral lists this ribosomal RNA (490 nucleotides) under uncultured bacterium. Its description in RNAcentral is "partial 16S ribosomal RNA". It matches the Rfam family "Bacterial small subunit ribosomal RNA", at positions 30 to 507 of the family's 1533-position model. The record is from RNAcentral.
AUUGAACGCUGGCGGCAGGCCUAACACAUGCAAGUCGAACGGUAACAGGAAGAAGCUUGCUUCUUUGCUGACGAGUGGCGGACGGGUGAGUAAUGUCUGGGAAACUGCCUGAUGGAGGGGGAUAACUACUGGAAACGGUAGCUAAUACCGCAUAACGUCGCAAGACCAAAGAGGGGGACCUUCGGGCCUCUUGCCCUCGGAUGUGCCCAGAUGGGAUUAGCUAGUAGGUGGGGUAACGGCUCACCUAGGCGACGAUCCCUAGCUGGUCUGAGAGGAUGACCAGCCACACUGGAACUGAGACACGGUCCAGACUCCUACGGGAGGCAGCAGUGGGGAAUAUUGCACAAUGGGCGCAAGCCUGAUGCAGCCAUGCCGCGUGUAUGAAGAAGGCCUUCGGGUUGUAAAGUACUUUCAGCGGGGAGGAAGGGAGUAAAGUUAAUACCUUGGCGCAUUGACGUUACCCGCAGAAGAAGCACCGGCUAACUCCGUG